Molecule: ribosomal RNA, 716 nt
Filed under: uncultured bacterium
Lineage: Bacteria
Description: bacterial SSU rRNA
Rfam family: Bacterial small subunit ribosomal RNA
Source: RNAcentral
AAUUCGAUUGAGUUUGAUCAUGGCUCAGGACGAACGCUGGCGGCGUGCCUAACACAUGCAAGUGGAGCGACGAACCGGGCUUCGGCCCGGGGCAAAGCCGCGAACGGGUGAGUAACACGUGGGUAACCUGCCCUGAUGAUUGGGACAACCCGAGGAAACUCGGGCUAAUACCGAAUGUGCCCUCCGGCCUCAAGGCCGCUGGGGAAAGGAAGCUUCGGCCUCCGCAUCGGGAUGGGCCCGCGGCCCAUUAGCUUGUUGGUGAGGUAACGGCUCACCAAGGCAACGAUGGGUAGCUGGUCUGAGAGGACGAUCAGCCACACUGGGACUGAGACACGGCCCAGACUCCUACGGGAGGCAGCAGUGGGGAAUCUUGCGCAAUGCGCGAAAGCGUGACGCAGCAACGCCGCGUGGGGGAAGACGGCCUUCGGGUUGUAAACCCCUUUCAGUUGGGACGAAGCUUUGCCGGUGAAUAGCCGGUUGGAGUGACGGUACCUUCAGAAGAAGCCCCGGCUAACUACGUGCCAGCAGCCGCGGUAAUACGUAGGGGGCAAGCGUUGUCCGGAAUCAUUGGGCGUAAAGAGCGUGUAGGCGGCUCGGUAAGUCCGCUGUGAAAGUCCAGGGCUCAACCCUGGAAUGCCGGUGGAAACUGUCGAGCUAGAGUCCGGAAGAGGCGAGUGGAAUUCCUGGUGUAGCGGUGAAAUGCGCAGAUAUCAGGA